GCGUCCUUAGUACAGUGGUUAGUACACUUGACAUGGAUAUAAGUGGCGUGGGUUUGGCUCCCACAGGACACA
Molecule: transfer RNA, 72 nt
Filed under: Puccinia coronata f. sp. avenae
Lineage: Eukaryota; Fungi; Basidiomycota; Pucciniomycetes; Pucciniales; Pucciniaceae
Description: Puccinia coronata var. avenae f. sp. avenae partial tRNA-Pro
Source: RNAcentral